GACGAACGCUGGCGGCGUGCCUAAUACAUGCAAGUAGAACGCUGAAGAGAGGAGCUUGCUCUUCUUGGAAGAGUUGCGAACGGGUGAGUAACGCGUAGGUAACCUGCCUUGUAGCGGGGGAUAACUAUUGGAAACGAUAGCUAAUACCGCAUAACAAUGGGUGACCCAUGUCAUUCAUUUGAAAGGGGCAACUGCUCCACUACAAGAUGGACCUGCGUUGUAUUAGCUAGUAGGUGAGGUAACGGCUCACCUAGGCGACGAUACAUAGCCGACCUGAGAGGGUGAUCGGCCACACUGGGACUGAGACACGGCCCAGACUCCUACGGGAGGCAGCAGUAGGGAAUCUUCGGCAAUGGGGGCAACCCUGACCGAGCAACGCCGCGUGAGUGAAGAAGGUUUUCGGAUCGUAAAGCUCUGUUGUAAGUCAAGAACGAGUGUGAGAGUGGAAAGUUCACACUGUGACGGUAGCUUACCAGAAAGGGACGGCUAACUACGUGCCAGCAGCCGCGGUAAUACGUAGGUCCCGAGCGUUGUCCGGACUUAUUGGGCGUAAAGCGAGCGCAGGCGGUUUGAUAAGUCUGAAGUUAAAGGCUGUGGCUCAACCAUAGUUCGCUUUGGAAACUGUCAAACUUGAGUGCAGAAGGGGAGAGUGGAAUUCCAUGUGUAGCGGUGAAAUGCGUAGAUAUAUGGAGGAACACCGGUGGCGAAAGCGGCUCUCUGGUCUGUAACUGACGCUGAGGCUCGAAAGCGUGGGGAGCGAACAGG
Molecule: ribosomal RNA, 765 nt
Filed under: uncultured Streptococcus sp.
Lineage: Bacteria; Bacillati; Bacillota; Bacilli; Lactobacillales; Streptococcaceae
Description: bacterial SSU rRNA
Rfam family: Bacterial small subunit ribosomal RNA
Source: RNAcentral